UAGGUAGUUUUAUGUUGUUGG
RNAcentral lists this microRNA (21 nucleotides) under Xenopus tropicalis (tropical clawed frog). Its description in RNAcentral is "xtr-miR-196b". Its record names the gene xtr-miR-196b. The record is from miRBase by way of RNAcentral. Lineage: Eukaryota; Metazoa; Chordata; Amphibia; Anura; Pipidae.